This 253-nucleotide ribosomal RNA is filed under the name uncultured bacterium. RNAcentral's name for it is "partial 16S ribosomal RNA". It matches the Rfam family "Bacterial small subunit ribosomal RNA", at positions 524 to 776 of the family's 1533-position model. The record is from RNAcentral.
UACAGAGGGUGCAAGCGUUAAUCGGAAUUACUGGGCGUAAAGCGUGCGUAGUCGGUUAUUUAAGUCGGGCGUGAAAGCCCCGGGCUCAACCUGGGAAUUGCGUUCGAUACUGGAUAGCUAGAGUUCGGCAGAGGGAAGCGGAAUUUCGGGUGUAGCGGUGAAAUGCGUAGAUAUCCGAAGGAACAUCAGUGGCGAAAGCGGCUUCCUGGACCAGAACUGACGAUCAGGCACGAAAGCGUGGGGAGCAAACAAG